GACGAACGCUGGCGGCGUGCCUAAUACAUGCAAGUCGAGCGCAGGAAAUCGACGGAACCCUUCGGGGGGAAGUCGACGGAAUGAGCGGCGGACGGGUGAGUAACACGUAAAGAACCUGCCCUCAGGUCUGGGAUAACCACGAGAAAUCGGGGCUAAUACCGGAUGGGUCAUCGGACCGCAUGGUCCGAGGAUGAAAGGCGCUUCGGCGUCGCCUGGGGAUGGCUUUGCGGGGCAUUAGCUAGUCGGUGGGGUAAUGGCCCACCAAGGCGACGAUGGAGAUCCGACAGGAGAGGGUGAGAGGGAAAGCUAGGAUAGAGACAGGGCCCAGAGGGGUAGAGGAGGAAGCAGGAGAGAGUCUUGCAAAAUGGACGAAAGUCUGAUGGAGCAAAGCCGCGUGAACGAUGAAGGGCGUCGGGUCGUAGAGUUCUGUUGUAAGGGAGGAACAAGGGCCGGAGGAAAUGGCGGCACCUUGACGGUACCUUGCGAGAAAGCCGCGGCUAACUACGUGCCAGCCGCCGCGGUAA
Molecule: ribosomal RNA, 524 nt
Filed under: uncultured bacterium
Lineage: Bacteria
Description: partial 16S ribosomal RNA
Rfam family: Bacterial small subunit ribosomal RNA
Source: RNAcentral